RNAcentral lists this ribosomal RNA (465 nucleotides) under Vreelandella stevensii. Its description in RNAcentral is "partial 16S ribosomal RNA". It matches the Rfam family "Bacterial small subunit ribosomal RNA", at positions 338 to 795 of the family's 1533-position model. Lineage: Bacteria; Pseudomonadati; Pseudomonadota; Gammaproteobacteria; Oceanospirillales; Halomonadaceae. The record is from RNAcentral.
CCUACGGGGGGCUGCAGUGGGGAAUAUUGGACAAUGGGGGGAACCCUGAUCCAGCCAUGCCGCGGGUGUGAAGAAGGCCCUCGGGUUGUAAAGCACUUUCAGUGAGGAAGAACGCCUGGUGGUUAAUACCCAUCAGGAAAGACAUCACUCACAGAAGAAGCACCGGCUAACUCCGUGCCAGCAGCCGCGGUAAUACGGAGGGUGCGAGCGUUAAUCGGAAUUACUGGGCGUAAAGCGCGCGUAGGUGGCUUGAUAAGCCGGUUGUGAAAGCCCCGGGCUCAACCUGGGAACGGCAUCCGGAACUGUCAAGCUAGAGUGCAGGAGAGGAAGGUAGAAUUCCCGGUGUAGCGGUGAAAUGCGUAGAGAUCGGGAGGAAUACCAGUGGCGAAGGCGGCCUUCUGGACUGACACUGACACUGAGGUGCGAAAGCGUGGGUAGCAAACAGGAUUAGAUACCCCUGUAGUC